This 938-nucleotide ribosomal RNA is filed under the name uncultured bacterium. RNAcentral describes it as "bacterial SSU rRNA". It matches the Rfam family "Bacterial small subunit ribosomal RNA", at positions 8 to 916 of the family's 1533-position model. The record is from RNAcentral.
AGAGUUUGAUCAUGGCUCAGGAUGAACGCUGGCGGCGUGCCUUAGGCAUGCAAGUCGAACGGUCUCAAGUAAAGCUUGCUUUACUUGAGCUAGUGGCGAACGGGUGAGUAACGCGUAGGAAUCUACCUCUGGGUGGGGGAUAGUCCCGGGGAACUGGGUUUAAUCCCGCAUGGUCUCGGUAUCAGUAUUUAGCAAUUAGGACAUUUGUUUGAUAGCGUAAGUUUGUUUUGAUUGUUAAAUUCUGAUGUCGAGUAAAGGCUUUGGCCGCCGAGAGAGGAGCCUGCGUCCUAUCAGCUUGUUGGUGGGGUAAAAGCCUACCAAGGCUAUGACGGGUAGCUGGACUGAGAGGUCGAUCAGCCACAAUGGGACUGAGACACGGCCCAUACACCUACGGGUGGCAGCAACUAGGAAUCUUCCGCAAUGGGGGAAACCCUGACGGAGCGACGCCGCGUGGAGGGCGAAGGCCUUCGGGUUGUAAACUCCUUUCGGUUUCACAUAUGUGAGACAAAAGAAGCACCUGCUAACUACGUGCCAGAAGCCUCGGUAAUACGUAGGGUGCGAGCGUUAUCCGGAUUUACUGGGCGUAAAGGGUCCGUAGGCGGAGACAUAAGUCGGUUGUGAAAGACCUCGGCUCAACUGAGGGAACGCAGUCGAAACUAUGUUUCUAGAGUGUCAAAGGGGAGGCUGGAACUGUCGGUGUAGCAGUGAAAUGCGUUGAUAUCGACAGGAACACCAAGGGCGAAGGCAGGCCUCUGGGUGACUACUGACGCUAAGGGACGACAGCUAGGGGAGCGAAAGGGAUUAGAGACCCCUGUAGUCCUAGCCGUAAACGAUGCUCGCUAGAUGGAUGCCCCUCGGGGUGUCUGUCGUAAGCUAACGCGUUAAGCGAGCCGCCUGGGGAGUACGAGCGCAAGCUUAAAACUCAAAUGAAUUGACGG